Molecule: non-coding RNA, 2473 nt
Organism: Odocoileus virginianus texanus
Lineage: Eukaryota; Metazoa; Chordata; Mammalia; Artiodactyla; Cervidae
Source: RefSeq, a predicted model, not a curated record
UUCCCAGACCAGGAAUUGAACCUGUGUCCUUUGCAUUGGCAGUGGAUUCUUAACCACUGUACCACCAAGGAAUCCCAAAGAGUACUUCUUUACACAAAACUCUAGCAGUUUGUUUUUUAAUAUUGAAUUAAAGGAUUAAGGUAAACCAUACUUUUUAAGACUGGCAGCUAGCAGUUUCUAACUUCUGGAGUACCUUUUUAGUUUUCAGUGUAGUUAGUGCUUUGCAAAAUUUGUGGGUUCACUGAAGAUAAUUAAAAUCUUUAGUAAUCCAGGUGUCACUGUGUCUGUAAUAAUUCAGUAAUCCAGGUAUCCAUUUUGAUUUAUUUCCAUUUUUCUUCUCAUCCUUGAUUUUACCAAAGGUAAUGUAUAUAUAGGUAAUACAGUUAUAAAACUAAUGUAGAAUGCUAGCUGCAAAUGGAAAUAAUAUAAAACAUAAUUUUUGUUGAUUUAUGGCAUGAUUUGCUUGAAAAAACCACAGAGCCUGUUGGCUGUGAAUCUGUUUCACAUGCAGGAUUUUCAUGUAAUUUUUGCAUGCUUUUGGCAGGGAGGGUGAUGCUUCAUCCAAUUCUCAGGUAAUCUGAGACCUAAAUGGGUUUGAAAAGUACCAGUUGAGGAUAGUUACUUCCAGUAUAUUUGGGUCACUAGUAGUAGUGAACCCAAAACUAGUUAUUUACUUCUCAAUUAUAAUUGUGUACUACUGCACUAGUAUUUCAGGGAUGCUAUUAAGACACACUUCAUAGGGAUGAGGUUAACAAUAAACAUAAACCUGUACCCCUGCAGAAAACCUGGAGUGCAUGCUAUCUUCGUAGGUAAGAAGUCAUCUGAUGGAGCACAGCAGGUUUUGUGUGCCCUAUCUUGGAACAAGCCGAAUAACAUUUUGUAGAUAGAAUAGGAAUCGGGAUCCUACGUAGGGUUUUGUAUUAUAAACGUCACAGGCUGUGAUGAGGGACCAGCAGUCCAGACGAGAGAACCUAUCUAUGGAAAAUGGAAAUGGGACACUUUACCAUCUAGGAUUUAAGUGUUUGCUGCCAAAACACAAAAUUGAGCAGAAUUUUUAAGUCAGUUGAUGUUCUUUGACGAAACAAAAUAAAAUCUUGACUGAAUGGACAUAAUCAGAUGAGGCAGAGAUUUAAAUGGCGUCUUGGUGGAAUUUAAUUACUGUCAUGGACUGUGGGAAAUAAGAGAACACUUGUGGUUUUUAAUCAUUUAAACUUGUUUUUAAAGGGCUAAAUCUGAUUUUAUUGUAAUCCUAGGAGAAAAGGAAACAUGGAUGAAGCUACCUGAAAUUUGGCUUCCUGUGUGAGCCCAAAGUUGCAAGCUGAGGAAAACUUGCCAGUGUCCUUUCAGUGGUCUUGGGGAGCAGGAACGUCAGCCUUUCCUGAGCACAGCUUGUGAGAUGAGACCGAUGGCAUCAGACCACUGGCUUAAUAGGGUCCCAGGGGAUCUGCAUCCACAGUCAAAUCAUUCUGUGGAAGAAAUGAACAACAAGGGAGAAAUGAACCAGAAGAAUCUUGUUUUAUUUUUCAAUUUAUUACCACUCCAUUAUAAACAACCUGUGGAUAGAUGAGCAGUCAUGACACUUUAUCCAGGUUUGUUUUCCUCAAUUGUAUACCUUCCCCUGGUACACUGACGGACUACCACAGACCCACCCCGUGGAACUAGAAAUUGUAGGUUAAAAAAAAAAAUACUCCAACUAACCUAACAGUUUUGGGUUAGUCCCCAUCACAAAGGAACUACUUAUAAAUUUGUCUUUGUUCAAGUGAGAAGAAUCCUGUUUUUAUCAGCAUGUAUCUUGGCCCAAGGGAAGCAAGUGGUGAGACAUGAAUCAAGACAGAGACCGUGGUAGAGCUUCAGCUUUUUCCACAAAAACUGAUAGCAGACAGGAGGGAGGGUGGUUCUUGGGGAACUCAGGGUGAGUAUGACUUGAGUGAAUUGUGGACCUCACCAAUGUUAUUACCAUUUUCCAGCCCAUGAGUAAAUCUCUUCUGUACCAGUUGGGAGAAGUCAGGCCUGGAAACGCCAGGUUUGGCUGGAAAAGAGCUUCAUCACCUACAGGUCGGCAGAGGGAAGUGGUGUGGACGCCCUCAGUGGCCUGAGCUUACCUAGCAGUGUUUUUCAAAGUAACUUAAAAGGCUUUGUACUGUAUUAUGCUGUGAAACAGAUUUUACUACAUUCAUGAAUUUUCUAAAUUCUCAAAGACUUUAAAAAUUAUAUAUUUGGCCAUGUGGGACCUUAAUUCCCUGAUUGGGGAUUGAACCUGCACCCCCUGCAUUGGAAGCAUGGAGUCUUAACCACUGGACUGCCAGGCAAGUCUCAAAUUUCUCUGAAUUCUUAUUUUAUAAAUCACUUUUUGUUAUUAUCUGUGUCCUACUGUUGUUAUAAGGCAUUAAUUAAUCAUAAAACGCUCUAAAGUCUGUCAGCUUUCUGUAUGCUAAAGUCUUACUACUAAAUAAACUAGUAAAUUCUCAUGUGA